Molecule: ribosomal RNA, 253 nt
Filed under: uncultured bacterium
Lineage: Bacteria
Description: partial 16S ribosomal RNA
Rfam family: Bacterial small subunit ribosomal RNA
Source: RNAcentral
UACGUAGGGUGCGAGCGUUAAUCGGAAUUACUGGGCGUAAAGCGUGCGCAGGCGGUUUUGCAAGCCGGAUGUGAAAUCCCCGGGCUUAACCUGGGAAUGGCAUUUGGGACUGCAAGGCUGGAGUGCGGCAGAGGAGACUGGAAUUCCUGGUGUAGCAGUGAAAUGCGUAGAUAUCAGGAGGAACACCGAUGGCGAAGGCAGAUCUCUGGGCCGUAACUGACGCUGAGGAGCGAAAGCAUGGGGAGCGAACAGG